RNAcentral lists this ribosomal RNA (305 nucleotides) under uncultured bacterium. RNAcentral's name for it is "bacterial SSU rRNA". It matches the Rfam family "Bacterial small subunit ribosomal RNA", at positions 338 to 659 of the family's 1533-position model. The record is from RNAcentral.
CUUACGGGAGGCAGCAGUCGGGAAUAUUGCGCAAUGGAGGAAACUCUGACGCAGUGACGUCGCGUGCAGGAAGAAGGUUUUCGGAUUGUAAACUGCUUUAGACAGGGAAGAAACAAGACAGUACCUGUAGAAUAAGCUCCGGCUAACUAUGUGCCAGCAGCUGCGGUAAUACGUAGGGAGCAAGCGUUAUCCGGAUUUAUUGGGUGUAAAGGGUGCGUAGACGGGAAGGCAAGUUGGUUGUGAAAUCCCUCGGCUUAACUGAGGAACUGCAACCAAAACUAUCUUUCUUGAGUGCUGGAGAGGAA